UAAGGGAUAUUGGUCAAUGGGCGAAAGCCUGAACCAGCAACGCCGCGUGGAGGAAGAAGGCCUUCGGGUCGUAAACUUCUUUGGCGAGGGACGAGAGCGGACGGUACCUCGCGAACAAGUCACGGCUAACUACGUGCCAGCAGCCGCGGUAAAACGUAGGUGACGAGCGUUAUCCGGAUUUACUGGGCGUAAAGCGUGUGCAGGUUGGCGGACAAGUGGUGUAUGGAAGCACCCGGCUCAACCGGGUGAGGGUAGGCCAGACUGUUCGCCUGGAGGCAGCCAGAGGGACAUGGAAUUCCGGGUGUAGUGGUGAAAUGCGUAGAGAUCCGGAGGAACCCCAGAGGCGAAGGCGGUGUCCUGGGGCUGACCUGACACUCAGACACGAAAGCAUGGGGAGCGAACGGGAUUAGAAACCCCGGUAGUUCAUGCCGUAAACGAUGCGGACUAGGCGUCGGGGGACUCAACCCCCUCGGUGCCGGAGCUAACGCGCUAAGUCCGCCGCCUGGGGAGUACGGCCGCAAGGCUAC
RNAcentral lists this ribosomal RNA (527 nucleotides) under uncultured Chloroflexota bacterium. RNAcentral describes it as "bacterial SSU rRNA". It matches the Rfam family "Bacterial small subunit ribosomal RNA", at positions 355 to 897 of the family's 1533-position model. The record is from RNAcentral. Lineage: Bacteria; Bacillati; Chloroflexota.